GAUGAACGCUGGCGGCGUGCCUAAUACAUGCAAGUCGAGCGAACAGACGAGGAGCUUGCUCCUCUGACGUUAGCGGCGGACGGGUGAGUAACACGUGGAUAACCUACCUAUAAGACUGGGAUAACUUCGGGAAACCGGAGCUAAUACCGGAUAAUAUAUUGAACCGCAUGGUUCAAUAGUGAAAGACGGUUUUGCUGUCACUUAUUGAUGGAUCCGCGCCGCAUUAGCUAGUUGGUAAGGUAACGGCUUACCAAGGCAACGAUGCGUAGCCGACCUGAGAGGGUGAUCGGCCACACUGGAACUGAGACACGGUCCAGACUCCUACGGGAGGCAGCAGUAGGGAAUCUUCCGCAAAGGGCGAAAGCCUGACGGAGCAACGCCGCGUGAGUGAUGAAGGUCUUCGGAUCGUAAAACUCUGUUAUUAGGGAAGAACAAAUGUGUAAGUAACUAUGCACGUCUUGACGGUACCUAAUCAGAAAGCCACGGCUAACUACGUG
Molecule: ribosomal RNA, 497 nt
Filed under: uncultured bacterium
Lineage: Bacteria
Description: partial 16S ribosomal RNA
Rfam family: Bacterial small subunit ribosomal RNA
Source: RNAcentral